Non-coding RNA from Pelobates cultripes (western spadefoot toad), 225 nucleotides. The record is from the annotation of a GenBank genome assembly. Lineage: Eukaryota; Metazoa; Chordata; Amphibia; Anura; Pelobatidae.
GCCGCCCGAGCGCUCUGUAAAGAGCCUCAGGCGGCUGCAGCUUUGCCCGGGCGGUGCGUCCAUGAGGGCGGACCGCACCGCCUGGGCGCAGCCUGAGAAAGGGGGCUGACAGGAGGGAGCUCCCACCUAUCAGCUCCCUCCCUGUAGCGUGGCCGAGCCCUGAUGGUCCGACGGGUACAGAGAGCAGCUGUCUCCUGUACCCGGCCGGACUAACAGGAAGUGCAC